AGAACGAACGCUGGCGGCAGGCUUAACACAUGCAAGUCGAACGCGUGUAGCAAUACACGAGUGGCGCACGGGUGAGUAACGCGUGGAUAUCCGCCUUUUGGUUCGGAAUAACCCCGGGAAACUGGGGCUAAUACCGGAUGGUUCCUACGGGAUAAAGAUUUAUCGCCAAAAGAUGAGUCCGCGUACGAUUAGCUAGUUGGUGAGGUAAUGGCUCACCAAGGCGACGAUCGUUAGCUGGUCUGAGAGGACGAUCAGCCACACUGGGACUGAGACACGGCCCAGACUCCUACGGGAGGCAGCAGUGGGGAAUAUUGGACAAUGGGGGCAACCCUGAUCCAGCCAUGCCGCGUGAGUGAUGAAGGCCUUCGGGUUGUAAAGCUCUUUUGGCGGGGACGAUGAUGACGGUACCCGCAGAAUAAGCCCCGGCUAACUUCGUGCCAGCAGCCGC
RNAcentral lists this ribosomal RNA (448 nucleotides) under uncultured bacterium. Its description in RNAcentral is "SSU rRNA". It matches the Rfam family "Bacterial small subunit ribosomal RNA", at positions 26 to 518 of the family's 1533-position model. The record is from RNAcentral.